This 43201-nucleotide long non-coding RNA is filed under the name Phaseolus vulgaris (common bean). Its description in RNAcentral is "long non-coding RNA (PVUL_LNC000452)". The record is from RNAcentral. Lineage: Eukaryota; Viridiplantae; Streptophyta; Magnoliopsida; Fabales; Fabaceae.
GUUCAUAAUCUAUUUCCUCCAAGAGAUCUUCUGCAUCAAACACAACAUCUUUGGCCCUGAGAAGCCAAUCUCUCACACGUGGAUCUGUGAACUGCUUUUGCUCUGCAUCAAAAGCCACAACAUCAAUGGCUAGGAGCUUCAUCUUCAAGUGGCUGAGUUGCUUCUUAUUGUGUUUUCUUGCACCGAAUAUGUGGACAAAACGGGAAGCCAAAGUGUCAAUAGUCCUAUCGAGGAAAACAGAAAAAAGAGCACCGGUAACAAUUUCUGCCAUGGUAAGAAUAGGAAAGGGAGUGGAUAAAUGAAACUGAUAAGGGACUGCAAUGGAAAUAAUAGUAAUAAGCUAAGUUUUGAAUGAUGGGCUUGAGUUAAAGUUUAGUAAUAAGCUUGGUGGGCAUUUUUCCACGAUGGCUCGUCAACAAGCAAAAGGUGUCGAGUGUUUCCACGGCUCUGUCAUUGAAAAGCAUUACUGAAUUCCAAGACUUGUGAGUUAUUACGUACAAGAGUAGAAAAUGAAUCACAUGCAUCCUUCUCCACUUGGAUUGAAUGGGGUCCAUGGAAGAACAAGAUAAAUAAAAAGAGACUAAUUCAUAAUUACAGAGACUAAUGAGAUAAUAAUAAAAAAGAAAGCAAAGAAAAGAUAGAAUAGAGAAAAUAGUUGUAUUUCCUUUUAAGUUAGAUUUUUAUCCAUGGAAGUUUCACCCUUAGUAAUCCCAUAACAAGGUAAAUCUAGCAACAUAUUUGGUAUAUUUUUAGAACACUACAAACAACAUUGUUUAGUUUGUGUAACUAACCCCGAACUAAUGAAAAUAAGGAUUAUGUUAUUGUUGAUGUCACCAUUGUUGACUUGGUGGAUGUUAUUAUUUACAGUAUAUUACUAAGUUCUUUUUUGUGUCUAGUGUUAUCUUCACAUCCAUAUCAUCUGGAUCAGGUGCCACGUGGGAGUCAUAGAUUUCAGAAUCCAUUUCUGCCACACCACUUGUUAUGAAGCUUUUUGUUUCCUAGAAAAAGAUGGGAAUUGAAUAGGGACGCGGCACUGGUUCUUUCUUAUCACAUGCUUCCGUAGCAGAGACGUCUCUAACAUUCAGAUUCGUUUUUGCUGCAUACUGUAAAACUCUAAACAGCUUCAACAUGUACCAUAGGAGCCCACAGAAACACCGACCGUUCUGCAUUAUUUAAAUUAUUUAAUUUAAUAUACAUUAACAAGAAAUUUAAAAUCAAAAUAAAGUACAUAAGUACUGAUCUUAGUGAUUUAAAUAACUAAAGAUAUUGAACAGUUAGUCAACGUGGAGAACCACUUUGAAAGUUCAUGAUAUAAUAUUAUUCUUUUGUAUCAAAAUUUUAACAAGUUCCUCCAUUAUUAGUUCAUUUUGGUGAAUCAUUUAACUAUUAUCUUCUCCACUUACACCACCAGAGGUCAACAAUGGUGGUCUUAUCUUCUUUCUGGGGCUCUGCACAAUCACUGCUUGCCCUUGUGGCUAUCAUUAUUGUGCUAUUCCGGCAAACUCACGGUGCCCAGGAUCGUCCAUUCUGUGCUCCUUCUUCCUGUGGCAAAAUUGGCAACAUUAGUUAUCCUUUCCGACUCAAAGGCGACCCACCUGGUUGCGGCCUCCCAAGGUACGAACUAGAUUGUGUAAAGAAUGUGACAGUGUUCACUUUAUUUUCAGGGAAAUACCAUGUUCAGAAUAUCAACUAUGAAACAUACAAGAUCCAAUUGAGUGAUGCAGGUCUUGAGGAGGACACUGCUUGCUUCAUUCCUCGCUAUUUCAUCUCUACAUGGAACUUCACUUACAUUGGUGGUCCUCAAAGUUACGCCACCGAUCCACUAACUUUCUGGAAUGGGAAUGAGACUCCUGAUUGGCCUCCUUAUGUAGCAUUUCUAAACUGCAGUGAUCCAGUGAGUGAUGAUCCUCGAUACGUGGAAGUGAAUGGCAGACUUUGUGAUUCUGGAGGCCAUGUCUAUGCUGUUCUUUCUUCUUCUUCUAAAUUCACAAUGAUGGACAUCAAGGUUGGCUGCCAUUUACAGUCUGCUACCUUUACAAACAAUAACCAUUGCAACAACCUUUCCUAUGCUCAUAUCCAUGACUGCCUGCAUAAUGGGUUUUCGUUGUCUUGGGUGAUGCCAGUUAUUUGUACAGACCAAUGUGGAAAGGGUGCGAGAUGCCUCAUCAAUCAAACCACUCAUCAAAUUGGAUGUGUACAAGAUUCCUAUUGCCAAGUUUUGGGCGUAGGAUUGGAAAAGAGGCACUGUGGUGAGAAAACAUUCUUGUACCUGCAAUUUUUCUGUCUCUUUUGUGAAGUACAAAAUUUAAUAAAAGGUGUGGUACAAAGAAAUAGCUUUAGUCUUUACAAUAUAAGCUAAUGUUUUCUUUUUCUGUUUAAGGAAUUGAACACCAGAUUCUUCAAUAUGCAGUUGGAAUUCUAAACUAUAUAGCACGUAAGAUGUCUCUUCCAUAUCUCUGUUCUUUCAGUUUGUAAUGACUGCUUAAAGUUCAUCAUUUUGAUUAAUUAGUAAGCUAUACAACUUCUGUACUAUUCGUUCUAAUAACCUGAAAGUUGUGCAUCAAAGUUAAUAAAUUUUGAAACCCAAAUCGUUCUAUACUGAACUCACAAGUAGUUGACAGGAUUUUCUAAACAAAAGCCUUGAAGGGAUGUUCAAUGGGAGUUUUCAGAGCAUUCCUCCAUAAUGCAUCAUCUUUCUUUUUUCCUGCAAAACAUAAUUAACUAAAAGGGAGCAUUUGAUGGAUGCUCAAACCCUUUUACACAAAAGAGGCAAGAAACCUCCCAAAGAAACAAAACCAGCAAGGCUAUGAUCCAACUCAGAAAAAUUCUUCAAAACUCCAACAAUUCUGCAUGAAAUGGUUUAUACAGAUCCUAUUCCCCAGCUCCCACAAAAAACUUACAAUCCCAAAAACAAAGCUAAUAAUUCCCCAGCCAUAAGGCAUCAUCUAUAUUGCCAUUAUGCAUUCACGAUAUUUCCAAAUUCAUUUCAACAUUAACCAAGAUAUAUUUGUUUGAAAAUGAUUUUGGGAAAAGACCAUGAACUUCAUUCCCCAAACACCAGAUAUAUCAGAAACCAAAAAGUUAUUUGAAUGCAUUGCAUGACGCUAGAAAUGCAUAGAAUCUUUAGACAUAGACAUUUGGUGGAAAAAGAAAAACUUAAGUUUUUUUAUACUGUAUCCAAAGUAUAUAUCCUUUGAAUAUUGAGUGUUCUUUUCUUUUGAUACUAUUAUAUUUCUAUUUUGCAGGCUAUGUUGAAUUCUUCAUAAUGGGUAAUGGCUUGUCAACUGAUUUCAUAUUUGAAUAAACUUACUUAUUAGACCAACCAUGGUUUAUUUCCUUACACAUUCAAUGAAAUCUAUCCUCACAGGACUAAUCUAUAGAAUAACACGUUCACAGCACUUCUCGAAAUGGAAAGUGGAAGGAGAUUUGAUUUUAAUAGCCCCUGUUCUAAUAUUUGUGGCUGCAAGAUUUUUAUUUGGAGUGACACUUUUGCUUGCACUAUUUAUCCAUACGUGGCGACGUAGGCAUUACUCGAUGUAUGAAAACAUUGAAACUUUUUUGCUAAACAACAAUCUAAAUCCUAUUAGGUACGAAUACAGAGAAAUUAAGAAAAUGAGCAGAGGUUACAAAGUUAAAUUGGGUGAAGGAGGUUUCGGAUCUGUAUACAAAGGAAAACUUCGAAGUGGGUCAGAAGUAGCAAUAAAGAUGUUGAAAAAAUCGAAAGCUGAUGGACAAGAUUUUAUGAAUGAAGUGGCUAGCAUUGGAAGAAUACAUCAUGUGAAUGUGGUACAUCUCAUUGGAUAUUGUGCUGAAGGACAAAAGCGUGCUCUAGUUUAUGACUACAUGCCAAAUGGUUCAUUGGAUAAAUACAUCUUCUCCAAAGAGGAAAGUAUCCCUUUAAGUUAUGAGAAAACAUAUGAAAUAUCUCUUGGCAUAGCUCGUGGGAUUGCUUAUCUCCAUCAAGGCUGUGAUGUGCAAAUUCUACAUUUUGAUAUUAAGCCUCAUAAUAUUCUUCUAGAUGAUGACUUCAUUCCAAAGGUUUCAGAUUUUGGACUUGCAAAGCUAUAUUCUUGCGAAGAUACGUCUGUUGCUUUAACUAUGGCUAGAGGAACUUUAGGUUACAUGGCUCCAGAACUAUUCUACAAUAAUAUUGGUGGAGUAUCCAAUAAGGCCGAUGUGUAUAGUUUUGGAAUGCUUUUGAUGGAAAUUGGAAGUAGGAGAAGGAACUCAAAUCCUCAUGCAGAACAUUCAAGCCAACAGUACUUCCCCUUUUGGAUAUAUGAUCAAAUUAAAGAUGAAAAAGAGACUCACAUAGAAGAUGCCUCAGAAGAGGAUAAGAUUUUGGUGAAAAAAAUGUAUGUAGUUGCGCUUUGGUGUAUACAACUGAAACCAAAUGACCGUCCUACAAUGAAGAGAGUUGUGGAGAUGCUUGAAGAAAAAGUUGAAAGUCUUGAAAUGCCUCCUAAGCCUGUUUAUUAUCCCCAUGAAACAGUUGAACAUGACUGUGGAGACAACUCAAACCAAACAUCAUGGAGUGGUUCAACUAGUUCUAGCGAAUAUGUUGGCAAAACCAACACUAACAUCCAUGGGAGAGCAACGAUUUGACGAACAAGAAAAUUGCUUAGAGCUAAAUGUUGGUCGUCCUUUAACAGUUUGAUUUGGAAGGACUUAGCUGUUAACAGGGAAAAAGGUUUUUAAUUUUAGAGUUGUUGCUAUUAUAUUUAUUGUUCCCUAGUAUACAUCAUGACCAAGAAAGUUUCAUUUGAUAAUAUAUUUGAAUAAAUUGAUUCUCCAAAUUAAAUGUACGUGAAGCUGUUGGCAAAACUUUGGGUUUCAAAGAACUAUCAGUUGCACUUAUGGAUGACUAAAGACUCUCAGAUAAAGUGAGUUUAAUUGGACAUGAGAUAAAAUCAUGUCUAUUUUGCCAAAUUUAUAUAUGCAUACAAGUCUUUAGUUUUGGCAUUUUGGCAAUCUGUGCAGGCAAAGCUUCUUGAGUUCAGUUUUACAUCAUUCACCAAGUUUGCUGCCAUGCUGAUAAUUACUCAUUUUUCACUCCCUUCUGUUACACUUGCUGCACCUUUAAUCAUUUUUCUUUUUAUAUAUGAACACUAUGAUAUAUGAAGAUUCCCUAGUGAUAGACACUUAAACACAAAUGAAUCAUCUCUUGUUAGUUGUUUUCCAAAAAUAUGUCAUUGUUUUUGUUCCAAUUAUCAGUGGCCUUUUUUCUGGCUGAUGAACCAGCAUUUAAAAAGGUUCCCCUCUCGAUGUUGCAGUGCCUAGGGAUAUCCGGAAUUAGCAUGUUCAUCAAAUUUUAUUUGAAAUACUGGCUUUGGGGCCAUAAUACCAGAUUUCUUCAAUAUCUCAAGAUGAAAUGUGACAUGAAAGAAUGGUGGACCUUUAUCCUAUUUACAUAGAUAUUUUACUUUUAUUGAAUAUAAUACUUCAAGUAAUAUUUAUUCAUUUUAUAUAAUUCUAAUAUCUUGAAAAUAAAGAGUUAUAAAAUUAAAUCCACACAAGAUCUUGCUCAACUAAGUUUCAGACUCAAGCGAGAAAAUCAAGAAUGGAAACUAUUUAAAACUUUCGACUCAAACUAGUUUUAAGAUUUUUUUUCUCCUAUUCUUGGAAUAAAUUAUGCCAUAUUCAUGUCAACGACAGUCUCCUAUAAUGCAAUGAAAUUAAUUUCACAUUACUCAACAUAUAUGCAUACUUCAAUCAGAAAUAAAAAUGUACAAGGUAAAACCACUUUUGGCUAUAUUUUAGCUGUGUUGUGGAAUAAAAAGAACGUUUUUUUUUUCUUGAAAAUCAAUUCUCAUGCAAUUUUGGAAACAAAAUGAAAAAGUGGAUUAUUUUGUCUCAAUAAAUUCCCAGAUCAGUGUAGCACAUGAAAACCCUUUGAUGAUUAUUUACAAAAUCUACGAGUCCAAACCAAAAAACAACUUUGUGACAUGUUGACCAAAGUCAUGACAAAGGCCAGCUGACCUACAUGGAUAGGCGAAUAGACAUGGGUUGAACUUCCGAACUAUUGGGAUACUCAAAUGUUCAAAUAAAAAUCAACUUAGAAUAAAAUUAAUAGGGCUUCAACUCAUGGUGGAGCAUUGCACUCCACAGGCCGAAAAUCACAUUUAGAUAUACAUUUAGAUAUUGCAGUGAUCUUGGUAAGCACUCAUCACUUUCUUACAUGUAAUUCAUUUUACUUUUACAACAUAUACUGUUUCUAAUUGUACAACAUUAUUAGAAGCGCCAAUAUGGUCAUCCCCCUGAACCUGAUGAACUCUUUAUGGUUACCCACACAAACAAGAAGGGUGACUAGGUUGAUACUCAUGCUCGUGAAACUUAUAUAAGUUAUUGUCUAAGGUUUUUUUAAUUUCCUAACGUUUCCAUCUCCUAAUGACCUGUGUAGAAAAGCUAUCAUGAGCGCUUGAGAACCCUUCAAGCAAAUAGUUCUCAAGACUCAAGCACUGAUGUCCAUCAAGUAGAUCAUACAACAAAGCUUCAAGCUUGAAAGGAAGUUGUUGGAAGAAAGAGUAGAGGUUAAGUUUAUGGUACGACAGACUUGGUUGGUAACUUCCGCCAAGGACUCUCUUCCCUCUCGGCCUUCCUCUGGUUUUGACGCUUCUCAAUUUGAUCAAUUGACUGAAAAUCAACAACUUCGUGUAGAAGUUAGUAUGUGGGGUCAAAAGUAUGCAUUCUUGGUAACAACGUGGUAAUGCUUCCACUAAUACAAGUCAAUUGCACCAUCAGUAUGCUCUAGAGUAUGAUGACCAACCCCUUCCUUGAAGUGCAUCCCAUACUUUAAGUUGAAUUAUUUUACUAUUCUAUUAUAUACUAAAUAUUUUAGUUAUUCACACUGUUUGUAUUUUUUUACAGGUUUUUAUGGAUCACAUCAGUGGUAUUUCUACUUCAUGGGACACAUUUCAUAUUUUUAAUUUGUAGUACUUUUUUAUAUAAUUGUAUCAUGGUACAUUUAGAGUUCUAGAACUUUUGGUUAAUUUUUAAUUUACAAUUUUAUUUUAUACUUUAUUUUAUAGUAACAUUAUACAUUUUAAUUGCCAAGUUUUCUUUUAUGCAUUAAUAUUUAGUUUGACUAGAAAUUAUUUCGAUAUUUGAAUGAUUUUAAUGGUUUGAAUAAGUGGAAUGAAAUAGAUAAUUAUCUAGAUAUUUAAAUGAAUUGGAUGAUUUUUCUGAAUGAAUAUGAAAACUUUUUACCGGUGAAAACGAGUAGAGAAAUAAAAAUAAAUUGCAUUUUUUUCCAGAUUUUAUGCGUAAGCCAAACCCACACAAAUCAUUAUUAAUCCUUAAUAUAUUUUUCUAGCUUGCAUUUUUGUGUGGGUCAGACCCACGCUAGCUUUUAUUUUUAUUUUUAUUUUUAUUCUUUUUGCAUUCUGCUUGGUCGACGCAUUUUAGUGUUUUUGAUACAUUGCGUCGGUCUGACCAACAAUAUUUCAUCCUCGUUUACGUCGAUUAUGUCACAAUAUUCGUGUUUGUCUCACUUCGGUUUAAUCCAUGCUAUUUGCGUCAUUCUCAGUGGCCGACACAAAUUAACUUUGCUUCCACGUUUUUCUUGUCGACUUCUUGAUCGACGCAUAACCAACGUUUAUUUGUCGUUUUUUUCUUUAAUUUUCGUCCAUCUUUUACCAUUGAAAAAUGAUGUUUCUGUUGUAGUUAUUUUACUAUUCCGAAAGAAUUGUUUCUUCUCUAUUAUAUUGCCUAAUAUACAACAUUGAACAAUUCUUAAUACAGAACUCGAGAGUCAUAGUUAAAAAAAUUGUAAGAGACAAGAAGUUAGAAGGUAGAUAAUUUUUUUUAUUGGUCUGAAGAUAUAAAAACAUAGUUCUUUAUUUAUCCAAAGCGUAAAAACACAUCUUUAUUUAUGAAAAGUAAAGAUCACAAUAUCAUUUGUUCUACACAAUACGACAUGUUGGCUCUUGUGGACUCGCAUAUUACAUUGGAAUCUAGGAAUGCACUUUAAAUGAUAGACCUGAUCCACCUAAUUUUUCUUCAAUGAUUUUGGAUAAUUUUUCUAUCAUAGAAGGAGAAAAGUAAUUCAUCCAAUCUCCUAUUUCACCCUUUCGAAAGAAAUUUUUCUUCUCAAGAACAUCGAAUAUACAUCCUGAUUUGUUCACUUCCAAAUCCUUCAUCUUCUCAAAUCUACAUAGUUUUAUUAUGUUUUCAAUCACUGUGCUACUCUCUUCUCCUUGAAUGAUAGGAGAGUCCAAAAACUUUGCAAUUCUUUUCACAUGAAAUACUGUAUCCUCUUUAAGAUCUUCAUACUUUAAGAACAAAACUUUGUUUGGUGUAGUUAUGCUCUCAUUCCAGUAACCUAACAUAUGACUCCACCAUGGACCAAACACGGUUAUUCCGUUACAAUACUUUUCAAAUGCUUCCUCGAAAGUGAAUUCAGGCUUUAUUUUAGUAAAGAAUUCCCAUGCUGAAACAAAAGUAUCAAAUGGAUUUCUACAUAUAUAAAUGAUCUUGCAAUUGGAUUUUGUGAUGGAUUCAGGUAAUGAAUGGAAUGGUAAGUGGGUAGAAAGAAGUCUUGGCUCACUCAUGUUGGAGAGGGAAAGAAUUUGGUCAUGCAUAUCAUUAGAAUACAUAAAUUCAGGGUAGGGCACAAGUUCAUGAGGAUUGGAAGAGAGUAAUGGAUGGUUGUCCACAGAGGAAAAACGUUGAUGGUUUGCAAUUGCAAAAGUAAGAGCUUUCAACCAGGUAGUACCUGACUUCGGAAAGCUGGCAACAAAAACAUCGUUGUCUUUUGCAUCAAAAUGUUUUUGAAACUUGUUAACUCCUUCAACAUAAAAUGUUGGGCACCAAAAAUCUUGAAAUAGAUUUUUGAAACUUGUUAACUCCUUCAACAUAAAAUGUUGGGCACCAAAAAUCUUGAAAUAGAUGGAGAUAGGGAGUUGAACUCAAACCCGUCUCCUUCGGAAGGGAGAGGAUGAACUCAUUUUCUUCAUUUGCUUCUUUGUGACUUGCCAAAGCCAUUGGAGUAGCUUCAAUAUGAAUGAUGAGUGAAUACUAGAAUUGGAUGAAAACAUAGUUUAGCACGAGAUAGCUUUUAUAGAACUUUUUAAAUUAAUUUCUAGAUUUUCAGCUUUUUACUUGCAUUAAUUAUGGUAUUUAGUUUUUUCGGAUUUACCUUUUAUUCUUCCAUAUGAUAGAAAAAUAAUUUUUAUUCAUAAUCACAACCAAUAUUUAUUAAAUAUUUUUUCUAUAAAAAAUAUCAAAGAAAUAAAAUAUUCCAAAAAAUUGUGAAUAUAUAUUAAUUUAAAAAUGCAAAUAAUAUUAUAAAAUAUUAUGUAUAAAUAUUUUAAUUUUAAAAGAACGUGAAAUAAAAUAAUAAUUUAAAUAUUUUUUUUUAUAAAAAAUACUUUUUAAAUUUUUUUAAAAUUAAGUAAACUUUAAAUCCUAAAUCUAAAUUAACUAACUUUAAUUUUUUUAUUUUUUUCAUAAAACCUAAUCAAAUUAAUUAAAUCUGGUCAAAAAUUAGUUAAAGAAAGGGGUGGCAGACAUAUAAUUGAUAGGUUGGGUAAAUGAGCAAUCAUCAACAAAUAAAUAAAUUAAAAAUAAUAUUUCAGAAAUAUCAUAACCUGUUCAUCUUCUAAAUUACAAACCAAAAAAUAUAACAAUCACAAAGAACUAGAUUUCAUUGACACUUCUCCUCUUGCUUUAACAUAACAAUAAUAAAGUGAAAUAUUACUUUAAAAUACUAUUUAUAUGAGAAAAGAAUUGGAAAAUUAGUUAAAUUUUGGAAAUAAAUUAUUAUAAUUGCGAACAAAUAUCACUACAAGAAGUUAUUUAACGGAAAUUAAUAUGACUGUGAAAAUUGAUUUAAUUAACUGAGAUUCUUUUUAACAUUUCUUAUGUAGAUGUUUUUUAACCUUUGUUAAAUUUUAAAGGUACAUUUCAAAAUCUUAAUAAAAUAACAAAGGUUUUUUUUACUUAAGUUAAACAAAAUCAAUCAAGAACCAAACUAUUAGAGCAAUACUGAAUGCGAGAAGUAGUGUGAACAAGAACCCUAAUCAUAGUGAAUGAGAGAGAACAUAGAGAAGAAAAGAAUGAUAAAAGUGAAAGUGAGAAUGAAGAGUAUUAUAUAGAAGCGUAAAAGUAAUUCAGUGUCAAAUAGAAAAAUGAAAGAGUAUAUAUAGAAAAACGGUGCCUAAAAAGUUGGCAAAAAAACAGAAAAAUAGUAUGGGCCUAAUGGAGGUCCAGAAGCUUUAACAAUAAAUAUUACUAGAAUUAUCAUAUAUAUAUAUAUAUAUAUAUAUAUCAUGGGAAUGAAAACAACAUUGGGGAAUUAACCAUUUUUUGUUAGCAUUAUACAACAUCAUGACUAGUAUUGAUUCCUAUGCAAUGAGUUCAAAACACAAUCCGAAUAACGUAAAUACCUAAAUCCAAUUACAAUGAAUGAAGAUAUGUUAUGCAUAGUACUCAAGUGAAUGUUCUCCAAGCACUAGGAGCUAAAGGUAGAAAAAAUAUGUUUGAUUGAUUCUGAUAUAAAAUUGGUAAUUUGAAUGAAGAACAAUGAGCCACAUUAUAGUUAGCAUGUUGAACUCUUGUAAAAAUUUAUUAUCAUGGAUUAUUGACACAUGGGCUUCGCCUCACAUUAUAUUGUGUCAUCUUUGGUUGGGUUUCUAAAGGCAAUUUCUUCCUCCACCAUAUCACUUUUAACCUGCACCAUAUCACUUUUUUUAAAUUUCCAAAAUUACCCUUAUUUUGUAUUUAAAAAUCUAAAAUAAUAAAUAAAAUUUAAAACUAAAAAAAUACAUUCCAGAUAAAAAAAUCCAAAACAAAAAAUUGAAAAUAUAUUCCAGAUAAGAAUUUCUUAAAUUUAAAAAUGUGUUCUGGAAAUUUAAAUCCAGAAUAUUUCCGUAAAAAGAGUUUUGAAAGUAAUUUUUAUCCACACCCUCUUUAUAUCUAAGGUUAUUUUCGUCAUUUGUGGGGGUAUUUUUGUCAUUUUAAAUAGUAAAUUGGGUGUAUGUUAGAAUUGAUAUGGUGCCGGAAGAAUUUGCCAUUUCUAAAUGGUGCAAAGGUCACAUGUUUUUGACUGUUUCUUCCUACACCUCCAUAUUUUCUUCUGGCACCUCCAUACACAACAUGAAAAUACAUUUUUACCCUUCUUGUGCCACCUCAUAGAAUAACUUCCAGAUUAUGUAAUCCGGAAACGCAUUUGAAAAAAGACUUCCGAAUUAUGUAAUCCGGAAGUUAAAAAAGACUUCCAGAUUAUGUAAUCCGGAAAGUAAUCAUGCAUCUGAAAAAAGACUUCUAGAUUAUAUAAUCCAGAAGCUAAUUACAAAUUUGAAAAAUAACUUCCGGAUUAUGUAAUCCGGAAUAUUAUAGAGGAGCAUUUUUGGAAAUACGAAAAUCUAUGGAGGUGAGAGAAGAAGGUAUGGAGGUGCAGGAAGAAGCAGCCCAUGUUUUUUAAUGAAGGAACUCUGGUUUUGGAAAAGAAUUUGAAACUAGAGCAUGUUCUUUUGUGUCUUAAAUUGAAGUGUAGUCAGAUUUAUGUUUCGUUCCUAGUUCAUUAUUCUGGUUUUCUUAUCCAAUUAAUUGAAAAAUAUUGUGUUAAUCUAUAGGUGUAUGUUAAACUUUGUUCAGUUUUUUAAAGUUUAUAAUUAAUCGCGGAGACAGUAAAAGACCAAAUGAAAAAUACUUCUUAUUAAGUGAUUUUAGUAGCUUUUAUCUUUCAGUAGAGAAGAUUUUUUCUUUUUGAAAUUAGAAUAAUUUGUAAAAUAAUUUAAACGUAUCCUUAAAGAAAUAUGGAGUGUAAUUUCCACUGUUUUUCUAUUAAGAUUGUUGAGUUCCUCUUAACUUAACUGACUUCUAUUAAGUAAUGUUUUACCUUCAAAUCUUUCAAUGUAACCUCAACUACAAUUUUCCGUUGAGCCUAAACUCAUAAUGACCAUCAAAUUUUGGGAUGACAGGUUGAACAAAUUUACGUGACUUAGACAUCCUUCUUUCCUUUGUUUAUGCACUCAUAGUGUCUCCCAAACCUCACAUAAAAAUGUAAAAAUAAACUAACAAACACAUCUUUAUUUAGCAAAAAGAAAGAUCGAAUAUCAUUUCAUCUGCACGAUACAACAUGUUAGCUCUUAUCUAGUUUCAUAUUACAUUGGAAUUUAAGAAUGCACUUUAAAUGAUAAACCUGAUCCACCUAAUUUUUCUUCAACAAUUUUGGAUAACUUUUCUAUCAUAGAAGGAGAAAAGUAAUUUAUCCAAUCUCCUAUUUCACCCUUCCGAAAGAAGUGCUUCUUCUCUACAAUAUUGUCUAUAUAUCCUGAUUUGUUCACUUCCAAAUCCUUCAUCUUCUCAAAUCUACAUAGAUUGACUAUGUUUUCAAUCACUGUGCUACUCUCUCCUCCUUGAAUGAUAGGAGAGUCCAAGAACUCUACAAUUCUUUUCACAUGAAAUACUGUAUCCUCUUUAAGAUCUUCAUACUUUAAGAACAAAACUUUGUUUGGUCUAGUUUUACUCUCAUUCCAGUAACCUAACAUAUGCCUCCACCAUGGACCAAACACGGUUAUCCCGUUGCAAUAGUUUUCAAAUGCUUCCUCCAAAGUGAAUUCAAGUGAAGACACUGACUUCAUUUUAGUAACAAAUUCCCAUAACGAAACAAAAGUAUCAAAUGGAUUUCUACAUAUAUAAAUGAUCUUGCAACUGGAUUUUGUGAUGGAUUCAGCUAAAGAAGAAAAUGGUAAGUGAGUACCAAGAACUCUUGGCUCACUCAUGUUGGAAAGGGAAAGAAGUUGGUCAUGCAAAUCAUGAGACAAGAUAAAUUCAAGGCUGGACACAAGUUGAUGAGGAUUGGAAGAGAGUAAUGGAUGGUGGUCGAAAGAGGAAAAACGUUGAUGGUUUACAAUGGCAAAAGCAAGGGCUUUCAACCAUGUAGUACCUGAUUUUGGAAAGCUGGCAAGAAAAACAUCAUUGUCUUUUGCAUGAAAAUGUUUUUGAGAGUUGUUCACACCUUGAAUACGAGAUGGUAGGCACCAGAAAUCUUGAAAUAGAUAGAGAUAGGGAGAUGAACUAAAACCCCUCUCCUUGGGAAGGGAGAGGAUGAACUCAUUUUCUUCAUUUGCUUCUUUGUCACUUGCCAAAGACAUUGGAGUAGCUUUGAUACUAGAAUUGGAUGAAAACAUAGCUUAGCAAGAGGUAGCUUUUAUAGAACAUUUUCAACUAGUUUCUAGAUUUCCAGCUUUUUACUUGUAUUAAUUGUAGUAUUUAGUUUGUUCGGAAUCACAACCAAAUAUUUAUGAAAUAAUAUUUUCUAUAAAAGUAAAAAAUCAAAUUAAAAGAAAUAAAAUAAUAUUAUAAAAAAUUGUGAAUAUAUUAAUUUAAAAAUGCGAAUAAUAUUAUAAAUAUUAUGUAUAAAUAUUUUAAUUUUAAAAGAACGUAAAAUAAAGUAAUAAUUUAAAUAUCUUUUAUAGAAAAUACUUUUUUAAAAACUUUUGAAAUUAACUAACUUUAUCCAAAAAAAUGCUAACCCUACAAAAAAACUGACCACAAAUGCAAAUUAAAUAUGGUAAAAAAAUUAGUUAAAGAAAGGAGUGGCAGAUAUAUAAUUGAUAGGUAGAGUAAAUGAGAAAUAAUGAAGAACACCUACCACUACUGUGGGGGCAACAAGCUAAUGCUCACACACUUUUCUUUUUUGCUAAUGUUGAAGGAAUUGGAACCAAGAAUCAAGUGGAAUGGGGAGGCAAUGACAUUACCCCUCCGUGAUGACUUUUUAGGUACGUGCAUCCGUUGUCAGAAUUAAUAAUUAGAUAAUGAAAGAUAUCAAACCAAACAAAAAAAUAUCAAGUAAAAUAUUUAGUAAAUGUAAAAUAGAAUAAUAAAAGUUUGUAAGUUUGUUGAGAGUUGUUAUGAUGGCAUGGAUUAACAAGAAAAUAAGUUACAUAGUUGUUACUUCAAUUGGGAAAAUAGGAAUUUGAUUUCAUCCUUUUCACUUUUUUGUAUUUUGAUUAGCAUGAGAAUAUUGUGCUCUUUGAUUGAUAUUGAUGUGCGUAUAAAAAUAAUUUAUAUCGAUUUCUCGUAUAUAAAAUUAUUAAGAUGCUUCCUAACAUGGAUUCUUAACACUCAAAUAUGUUAAAUAUUAUUUAUAGUUUAGGUCAGAACCCUAAAAUGCUUUCCAGUCAAGUAUAAGAUUCAAUAUUAUGAAAACCAAUAGCAUUUAAAAGAAAAACAAAAAUACCAAACAUCAAUCAAGAACAAAAUAUUAUGUUUAGAUAUCACCUCAAUACAUAAGAGUUUGAACAGAUUACUCUCAAUCCUAAAGGGUAGAAUUAGCCACACAUGAUGACUGUUACACGCAGGGAGAUUGACGACUGACUGUCUCCUCUAAUGUUUCUCACACUUCCUAUUCUCCUAAUUGGGUUACAAGUCACUCAAUGAUGUUUUCCUCUCAAUCUUGCACACUAGGGUUGUGCCUCAAGCCCCCUAUUUAACCUAAUUUGAUUGGGCUUAAGUGAAUUCUCACUCAAGCGAGAAUGGGCUCGCUUGAGCGAGCAAAACGUCGUUCAACCCAAUUUCAUUAGUGCUAUCUCAUUCAAGCGAGAUAUAGCUCACUUGAGCAAGCUCAACAGGUGGUGAGACGACUCUUUUGCUCAUUUGGGCAACAUUAGUGAGUGUUCAUGCAUUCUAGCUUUCUCUUUUUAGUUUUGUAUAUUUUUCUUUUACCCAAUUAUCUCCAUUCUUCUCUAGAAUGGUUAAAUUAACUCAAAAUCUAGAAAAAAAUUGUUCCUAUUCAAUUAAAAAUCACAAAAUAUGUAAAAAUGUAUAAAUUAAUAAACUAUUAAUUAUUUCAUACUUAUUUUAACAAUUAAUAUUCAUAAAUAUCUAUAUUUUAAUAUAAAAUAUUACUAAAAUUUAACAUUACCUACAGAGACAACCUCAAUUAGACCACCGUUAGUAUCUAAUUUCUUGAGUAAUUUCUGAGGGUGACAAUAUUAUUAAUUAUAAUAGAAGGUUUUGGAACUCACUAGACAUACUUGAACUUAAAUUAUAGGAGAUAAUUAUAAACAGAUAAAGAUAAAAUGGUCACUAGAUAUAGUUAAGUUAUAGGAGAUAGUUAAAUAGAUAAGGAUAAGAUGUGGUGGGAAUGAAGAAGAGGUAAUAAGUUAAAUUAAAUAUCCAAAAACUGACAAUAAAUGUAAUGUUUAUCUUAAAAACUCAAACAGCCAAAAACUGAAAUUUUUGAAAAUGCAAAUUAAAUCUGGUCCAAAAAUUUGUUAAAAAAAGGGGUGGCAGACAUAUAAAUAGGUGGGGUAAAUGAUAAAUAAUGAACAACACCCCUGCUGCUACUGUAGGGACACCAAGUUAAUGCUCACACACUUUUUUUUUUUUGACUGAUAAAAAUUAAUAAAUUAAAUAAAAUAUUUAUAAGAUGUUAACCUUAGAGAUAUAUGUGUUUCUUUCAAAUAACAAGAUACAUCUUCUUCAACUAACAUAUAUUUUUAUGAAAUCAUUUACCACAAAAAAAUCCUCACUAUUAACAUUAUAAAAAAAUUAUAAAAUAAAAACUAAUUUUAAAGAUCAAAAUAAUUAAUUAUUAUACAAUUAAAUUAAAUUUUUUAUAAAUUAAAAAAAUUCUUAAUUCUAAAUUACUUUCUAUUAUUAAUAAAAUUUUAUAAAAUUAUUUUGUUAUUAAGAUUUUAGUUACUUACCAUUUUAUAUUUUAAAUUAGUUUCUAAUAAUUUUUUUAAAGAUUAACUUAAAAUUUAAAAUAUUAAUCGCUAAAAUUUAGAUAAUUAAUUUAGAUACAAAUUUAUAAAUUAUUUUAUUAAAUUUUAUUAAUAAUUAAUAAAAAUGAUUUAGAUAUAAAAAAAUUUAAUCUCUAAUAUCUAAUUUAAUUAAUAUAAUUAAUUAAUUUUAAUUUUUAAAUUCGGUUAUUAUUUUAUGAUUUUUUUUAUUAUAUAAUAAUAUAAAGAAAAUAUUACAUUAAAUGAUGUGUAUCAGAAAACAGUUUAGAGACUAACAUUGUCAUCAAAUCAUUUAUCAGAAAAUCCUCUAUUAAUGAUAUAAUAAAGUAAAAUAUUACUUUAAAGUACUAUUUUUAUUAGAAAAGAAUUGGAAAAAUAGUUAAAUUUUAGAGAUAGAUUAUUACAAUAAAUAUUAUUAUUCAAAUAAGAAUUAUAACCUUUUUCACACAAUUGAAAGAGAAAAUAAAACCUAUAACUCUGUCCAUUGUCAAACCAAUCUCUUUUUAAAGAAAAUAAGUCAUAAUCACCUUGUUAACACGUCUAGCCAACGAAGAAGAUAGAUUUUGUGCUUUCUCUUCAUCAAACCAAUUCAUAGCUCCCAGAAAAUAAACGUGUAUUAUUAUAAUUCCGUACAAAUAUAUUAAUAAGAUUACUAACAAAGAAAAAUUUAUCAAAAUUAUACGCGUAGCAUUGGUAAAAAAUAUAUUUCCAACAACUAUUAUAAUUUUAUAUAAAAUUAUAUAGUAAUAAUAAGAAUAAAUCAAAUUUUUUUUACCAAGAUUUAUGUUUAAAAUAAAGGUUUUGCCAACUAAAAUAAUGAAAUAUAUGAUAUUUAUAAUCUUAAAAUUCAAAGGGUAAAUAUUAGGAUAAACAAACUUCAAAUUCCAUAAAAAAACUUCAAAGGGUGAUAACUUUUUUCCGAGAAGUCAGACAAAAAAUGAAUAUUGCUCGAAACGGGGGUGGCGAUUUGCAUGUGUUAUGUGCUGAUUUGUCAGUAGUUUGAGGUUUGUGGAGACUUCAUCUAGUAAAUAUUAGGAUAAACAAACUUCAAAUGACCAUAAAAAUACUUCAAAAGGUGAUAACUUUUGACGGAGAAGUCAGACAAAAAAUGAAAGUUGCUCGGAACGACGAUGGCGAUUUGCAUGUGUUAUGUGCUGAUUUGUCAGUAGUUUGGGGUUUGUGGAGAUUUCAUUUAGUGAGUAUUAGGUUAAAAAAACAUCAAAAUAUGAUAUCUUUUGACGGAGAAGUCAGACAAAAAAUGAAAGUUGCUCGGAACGGAUUUUUCAACACUUUUGUGCAAACCAAGGCUAUCCUCUACCUAAACUUGCGAAAUUUCUCCCUACUCUCUGCAAUUUUAUUCUGGGUCCGUAUUGCGUUGAAAAAAUUCACACAAGUACUUUCAUAUGUUUUUUGCACCCAGGUAACGAGGCAGAUCCAUAAACAAAUCACAAAAAGAAAAUGCGGGGAAGAAAAGCUAGGACUUUUUGUUUUUGGAAAACCAGUUUUGUUCACUCUCGGUCUGAGACUUACUAUGCCUGAUUCCUUGGGUAUUUUGGUCUGAAAUUUUUACCAAACAUUUGUCAUUAUAUCCAUUGAGUGUUGGCCGAGACUUGAGCACCAAAUUCGUCCCAGAAGAUUUGUAAUAAAUUUUUUAUUCAUCACUGCCAGGGCUGAAAAGAAGUUUCGUUUGUGUGUGAAACCGUUUGAUUUUUUUGCUAUGUGAAUACUCAUCCAUUCCACCUGAAAUUUGUCGCGUUUUGUCUCAAAUUCAGUCAAGAUUCUUACCUGAAAUUUCAGGAAAAAACUAUUUUGGGAGAAUUUUACACAAACCAAGGCUAUCUCCUCUACCAAAACUUGCGAAAUUUCGCCUACUUUCUGCAAUUUUAUUCUAGGUGCGUAUUGCAUUUCAAAAUUUCACACAAGUACUUUCAUAUGUUGUUUUCACCCAGGUAAGGUGGCAGGUCCAUAAAAAAAUCACAAAAAGAAGAUACGGGGAAGAAAAGCAAGGACGUUUUAUUUUCGGAAAACCAGUUUUGUUCACUCUCGGUCCGGGACUUACUACGCCUUACUCCUUGAGUAUUUUGGUAUGAAAUUUUUACCUGACAUUCGUCAUUGUUUCCAUUGAGUUUUGGCUGAGGCUUGAGCCCCAAAUUCGUCUCACAAGAUUUGCAAUAAAUUUUUUAUUCAUAUCUGUCACGGCUGAAAGGAAGGUUCGUUUGUGUGUGAAACUGUUUGAUUUUUUGGCUAAGUGAAUACUCAUCCGUUUGACCUGAACUUUAUCGUGUUUUGCCCCAAAUUCAGUCGAGAUUCUAACCUGAAAUUUCAGGAAAAAACAUUUUUCGGAAGAAUUUUCUAGAAAUUUUGUGCAAACCAAGGCUAUCCUCUACCAAAACUUUCAAAAUUUCGCCCUACUUUUCGCAAUUUUAUUCUGGGUUUGUAUUGCGUUGAAAAAAUUCACCGAAGUACAUUCAUAUGUUUUUUUGCACCCAGGUAAGGAGACAGGUCAAUAAAAAAAUCACAAAACGAAUAUACGGGGAAGAAAAGCCAUGACGUUUUGUUUUCGGAACACCAGUUUUGAUCACUCUCGGUCUGAGACUUACUACGCCUUACUCCUUGGGUAUUUUUGUCUGAAAUUUUUACCAGAUAUUCGCCAUUGUUUCCAUUGAGUUUUGGCUGAGACUUGAGCCCCAAGUUCGUCUCACAAGAUUUGCAAUAAAUUUUUUAUUCAUCACUGCUGGGGUUGAAAGAAAGUUUCGUUUGUGUGAAACUGUUUGAUUUUUUUGCUACCUAAACACUCAUCCGUUUGACCUGAAAUUUUUCGCAUUUGGUCCCAAAUUCAAUCGAGAUUCUUACCUGGAAUUUCAAGAAAAAUAUAUUUUGGGAGAAUUUUACACAAACCAAGACUAUCCUUUACCAAAACUUGCGAAAUUUCGCCUACUUUCUGCAAUUUUCUUCUAGGUCCGUAUUGCAUUUAAAAAAUUCACACAAGUACUUUCAUAUGUUGUUUCCACCAAAGUAAGGUGGCAGGUCCAUAAACAAAUAACGAAAAGAAAAGAAUAUAUGGGGAAGAAAAGCCAGGACAUUUUGUUUUCGGAAAACCAGUUUUGUCCAUUCUCGGUCUGGGACUUACUACGCCUUACUCCUUGGGUAUUUUGGGCUGAAAAUUUUACCAGACAUUCGUCAUUGUGUCCAUUGAGUUUUGGCUGAGACUUGAGUCCCAAAUUCGUCCCACAAGAUUUUCAAUAAAUUUUUUAUUCAUCACUGCUAGGGUUGAAAGAAAGUUUCGUUUGUGUGUGAAACUGUUUGAUUUUUUUGCUACCUAAACACUCAUCCGUUUGACCUGAAAUUUUUCGCGUUUGGUCCCAAAUUCAAUCGAGAUUCUUACCUGGAAUUUCAAGAAAAAUAUAUUUUGGGAGAAUUUUACACAAACCAAAACUAUCCUUUACCAAAACUUGCGAAAUUUCGCCUACUUUCUGCAAUUUUCUUCUAGGUUCGUAUUGCAUUUAAAAAAUUCACACAAGUACUUUCAUAUGUUGUUUCCACCAAAGUAAGGUGGCAGGUCCAUAAACAAAUAACGAAAAGAAUAUAUGGGGAAGAAAAGCCAGGACAUUUUGUUUUCGGAAAACCAGUUUUGUCCAUUCUUGGUCUGGGACUUACUACGCCUUACUCCUUGGGUAUUUUGGGCUGAAAAUUUUACCAGACAUUCGUCAUUGUGUCCAUUGAGUUUUUGCUGAGACUUGAGUCCCAAAUUCGUCCCACAAGAUUUUCAAUAAAUUUUUUAUUCAUCACUGCCAGGGCUGAAACGAAGGUUCGUUUGUGUGUGAAAUUGUUUGAUUUUCUAGCUAGGUGAAUGCUCAUCCCUUUGACCUGAACUUUAUCACGUUUUGCCCCAAAUUCAGUCUAGAUUCUAAUCAGAAAUUUCAGGAGAAAAAAUUUUUCAGGAGAAUUUUCCAGAAAUUUUGUGCAAACCAAGGCUAUCCUCUACCAAAACUUUCGAAAUUUCGCCCUACGUUCCGCAAUUUUAUCAUGGGUCCUUAUUGCAUUGAAAAAAUUCACCAAAGUACUUUCAUAUGUUUUUUGCACCCAGGUAAGGACGCAGGUCCAUAAACAAAUCACAAAACAAAUAUACGGGGAAUAAAAGCCAGGACGUUUUGUUUUAGGAACACCAGUUUUGAUCACUCUCGGUGUGGAACUUACUACUUCUUACUCCUUGGGUAUUUUGGUCUGAAAUUUUUACCAGACAUUCGUCAUUGUGUCCAUUGUGUUUUGGUUGAGACCUUAGCCCCAAAUUCGUCCCACAAGAUUUGCUAUAAAUUUUUUAUUCAUCACUGCCAGGGGUGAAAGGAAGGUUCGUUUGUGUGUGAAAUUGUUUGAUUUUUUUGCUAGGUGAAUACUCAUCCGUUUGACCUGAAACUUCUAGUUUUUUGCCGCAAAUUCAGUUGAGAUUCUUACCAUAAAUUUUAGGAAAAAAAUUUUUCCGGGAGAAUUUUUCAGAAAUUUUGUGCAAACCAAGGCUAUCCUCUACCAAAAGUUGCGAAAUUUGGCCCAACUUUCCACAAUUUUAUUCUGGGUCCGUAUUGCGUUGAAAAAAUUCACUGAAGUACUUUCAUAUGUUUUUUGCACCCAGGUAUGGAGGCAGGUCUAUAAACAAAUCACAAAACGAAUAUCCGGGAAAGAAAAGUCAGGACGUUUUGUUUUCGGAACACCAGUUUUGAUCACUCUCGGUCUGGGACUUACUACGCCUUACUCCUUAGGUAUUUUUGUUUGAAAUUUUUGGAAGACAUUCGCCAUUUUUCCAUUGAGUUUUGGUUGAGACUUGAGCCCCAAGUUCGUCCCCCAAGAUUUGCAAUAAAAUUUUUAUUCAUCACUUCCAGGGCUGGAAGUUUCGUUUGUGUGUGAAACUGUUUGAUUUUUUUGCUACCUGAAUACUCAUCCGUUUGACCUGAAACUUUUCGCAUUUGGUUCCAAAUUUAAUCGAUAUUCUUACCUAAAAUUUCAAGAAAAAUAUAAUUUGGGAGAAUUUUACACAACCAAGACUAUCCUCUACCAAAACUUGCGAAAUUUCGCUUACUUUCUGCAAUUUUCUUCUAGGUCCAUAUUGCAUUUAAAAAAAUUCACUCAAGUACUUUCAUAUGUUGUUUCCACCCAGGUAAGGUGGUACGUUCAUAAACAAAUAACAAAAAAAAUAUAUGGGGAAGAAAAACCAGGACGUUUUGUUUUCGGAAAACCAGUUUUGUUCAUUCUCGGUCUAACACUUACUAUGCCUUAAUCCUUGGGUAUUUUGUUCUGAAAUUUUUACCAGACAUUCGUCAUUGUGUCCAUUAAGUUUUAUUUGAGACUUGAGCCCCAAAUUCGUCCCACAGGAUUUGCAAUAAAUUUUUUAUUCAUCACUGCCAGGGUUGAAAAGAAAGUUUGUUUGUGUGUGAAACUGUUUGAUUUUUUUGCUACGUGAAUACUCAUCCGUUUGACCUUAAACUUGUCGUGUUUUGCCGCAAAUUCAGUUGAGAUUCAUACCAUAAAAUUUAUGAAAAAACUAUUUCGGGAGAAUUUUUCAGAAAUUUUGUGCAAACCAAGGCUGUCCUCUACCAAAACUUGUGUAAUUUUGCCCUACUUUCUGAAAUAUUAUUAUGGGUCGCUGAAAAAAUUUCACGCAUGUACUUUCAUAUGUAUUUUGCACCCAGGUAAGGAGGUACGUCCAUAAACGAAUCACAAAAAGAAGAUACGGGGAAGCAAAUCCAGGACGUUUUGUUUUCGGAAAACCAGUUUUGUUCACUCUCGGUCUGGGACUUACUACACCUUACUCCUUUGGUGUUUUGGCCUGAAUUUUUUACCAGACGUUCGUCACUGUGUCUGCUGAGUUUCGGUUGAGAUUUGAGUCCUAGAUUCGUUCCACAAGAUUGGCAAUAAAUUUUUUAUUCAUCACUGCCAGGGCUGAAAGGAAGGUUCUUCUGUGUACGAAACUGUUUGAUUUUUUCGGUGGGUGAAUACUCAUCCGUUUGACCUGAAAUUUGUCGCGUUUUGUCCCAAAUUCAGUGGAGAUUCUUACGUGGAAUUUCAGGAAAAAACUCUUUCGGGAGAAUUUUUCAGAAAUUUUGUGCAAACCAAGGCUAACCUCUACCAAAACUUGUGAAAUUUCGCCCUACUUUAUGCUAUUUCAUUUCAGGCUCGUAUUGCGCUGAAAAAAUUCACACCAUUACUUUCAUAUGUUGUUUGCACCUAGGUAAGGAGGCUCGUCCAUAAACAAAUCACAAAAAGAAGAUACGUGGAAGAAAAGCCAGGACGUUUUGUUUUCGAAAAGCCAGUUUAGUUCACUCUCGGUCUGGGACUUACUACACCUUACUCUCUGGGUGUUUUGGUCUGAAAUUUAUACCAGACGUUCGUCAUAGUGUCUGCUGAGUUUUGACUGAGAUUUGAGCCACAGAUUCGUCCCACAAGAUUGACAAUAAAUUUUUUAUUCAUCACUGUUAGGGCUGAAAGGAAGGUUCGUCUAUGUGCGAAACUGUUUGAUUUUUUUCGUGGGUGAAUACUCAUCCGUUUGACCUGAAAUUUGUCGCGUUUUGUCCCAAAUUCAGUGGGGAUUCUUAGGUGGAAUUUCAGGAAAAAACUAUUUUGGGAGAAUUUUUCAGAAAUUUUGUGCAAACCAAGGCUAUCCUUUACCAAGACUUGGUGAAAUUUUGCCUUACUAUUUGCAAUUUUAUUCCGGGUCUGUAUGGGGCUGGGAAAAUUCACACAAGUACUUUCAUAUGUUGUUUGCCCUUAGGUAAGGAGGCACGUCCGUAAAAGAAUCACAAAGAGAAGAUAUGGGGAAGAAAAACCAGCACGUUUUAUUUUUGGAAAACCAGUUUUGUUCACUCUCGGUCUUGGACUUACUACACCAUACUCCUUCGGUGUUUUCGUCUGAAAUUUUUACCAGACGUUGGACACUGUGUCUAUUGAGUUUUGGCUGAGAUUUGAGCCCAUAUUCAUCCCACUAGAUUGGCAAUAAAGUUUUCUUAAUCACUGCCAGAGAUGAAAGGAAGGUUCGUUUGUGUGUGAAACUAUUUGAUUUUUCUCGUGGUCUAAUACUCAUCCGUUUGACCUUAAAUUUGUCGCGUUUUGUUUCAAAUUCAGGGAAGAUUCUUAGGUGGAAUUUCAGGAAAAAUAUAUUUCGGCAGAAUUUUUAAAAAGGUUUGUGCAAUACAAGGCUAUCCUCUACCAAAACUUGUGAAAUUUCGCCCUACUUUCGGCAAUUUUAUUCCGGGUACGUAUUGCGUUGAAAGAAUGCACACAAGUACUUUCAUGUGUUGUUUGCACCCAGGUAAGGAGGCACGUCCGUAAACAAAUAACAAAAAGAAGACACGGGGAAGAUAAGCCAGGGUGUUUUGUUUUGGGAAAGCUAGUUUUGUUCACUCUCGGUCUGGGACUUAUUACGUCUUACUCCUUUGGUGUUUUGCUUUGAAAUUUUUACCAGACGUUCGUCACUGUGUCUGCUGAGUUUUGGCUGAGAUUUGAGCCCCAGAUUCGUCCCACAAGAUUGGAAAUAAAUUUUUUAUUCAUCAAUGCCAGGGCUGAAAGGAAGGUUUGUCUGUGUGCGAAACUCUUUAAUUUUUUUCAUGGGUGAAUACUCAUCCAUUUUACCUAAAAUUAGUCAUGUUUUGUCCCAAAUUCAGUGGAGAUUCUUACGUGGAAUUUUAGGAAAAAACUAUUUCAGGAAAAAAUUAUUUCAGGACAAUUUUUCAAAAUUUUUUGUGCAAACCAAGGCUAUCAUCCUCUACCAAAACUUGUGAAAUUUCUCUCUACUUUCUGGAAUUUUAUUCCGGGUCCGUAUUGCGCUGAAAAAAUAAACACAAGUAUUUUCAUAUGUUGUUUGCACCCAGGUAAGGAGGCACGUCUGUAACCAAAUCACAAAAAGAAGACACGGGAAUGAAAAGCCAGGACGUUUUGUUUUCGGAAAGCUAAUUUUGUUCACCCUCGGUCUGGGACAUAAUACGCCUUACUCCUUGGGUGUUUUGGUGUGAAUUUUGUACCAGACGUUCGUCACUGUGUCUGCUGAGUUUUGGCUGAGAGUUCAGCGCGAGAAAUGUCCCACAAGAUGGGCAAUAAAUUUUUUAUUCAUCACUGUCAGAGCUGAAAUGAAGGUUCGUCUAUGUACGAAACUGUUUGAUAUUUUUCGUGGGUGAAUACUCAUCCGUUUGACCAGAAAUUUGUCGCGUUUUGUCCCAAAUUCAGUGGGGAUUCUGACGUGGAAUUUCAGGAAAAAACUAUUUCGGGAUAAUUUCUGAGAAAUUUUGUGCAAACCAAGCCUAUCCUCUACCAAAACUUGUGAAAUUUCGCCCUACUUUCUGGAAUUUUAUUCCGGGUGCUUAUUGCGCUGAAAAAAUUCACACAAGUACUUUCUUAUAUUGUUUGCACCCAGGUAAGGAGGCACGUCCGUAAAUACAUCACAACAAAAAGAGAUGGGGGAAGAAAAGCCAAUUUUGUUCACUCUCGGUCUAGGACUUACUACGCCUUACUCCUUGGGUGUUUUGGUAUGAAAUUUUUACCAGACGUUCGUCACUGUGUCUGCUGAGUUUUGGCUGAGAUUUGAGCCCCACAUUCAUCCCACAUGAUUGGCUAUAAAUUUUUUAUUCAUCAUUGCCAGGACUUAAAGGAAGAUUCGUCUGUGUGCGAAACUGUUUGAUUUUUUUCGUGGGUGAAUACUCAUUCGUUUGACCUGAAACUUUUUGCGUUUUGUCCCAAAUUCAGUGGAGAUUCUUACGUGUUAUUUCAGGAAAAAACUAUUUCAGGACGUUUGGUUUUCGAAAAGCCAGUUUUGUUCACUCUCGGUCUGGGACUUACUACGCCUUACUCCUUGGGUGUUUUGGCCUGAAUUUUUUACCAGACGUUCGUCACUGUGUCUGCUGAGUUUCGGCUGAGAUUUGAGUCCUAGAUUCGUUCCACAAGAUUGUCAAUAAAUUUUUUAUUCAUCACUGCCAGGGCUGAAAGGAAGGUUCUUCUGUGUGUGAAACUGUUUGAUUUUUUCGGUGGGUGAAUACUCAUCCGUUUGACCUGAAAUUUGUCGCGUUUUGUCCCAAAUUCAGUGGAGAUUCUUACGUGGAAUUUCAGGAAAAAACUCUUUCGGGAGAAUUUUUCAGAAAUUUUGUGCAAACCAAGGCUAACCUCUACCAAAACUUGUGAAAUUUCGCCCUACUUUCUGCUAUUUCAUUUCAUGUUCGUAUUGUGCUGAAAAAAUUCACACAAUUACUUUCAUAUGUUGUUUGCACCAAGGUAAGGAGGCUCGUCCGUAAACAAAUCACAAAAAGAAGAUACAUGGAAGAAAAGCCAGGACGUUUUGUUUUCGAAAAGCCAGUUUUGUUCACUCUUGGUCUGGGACUUACUAUGCCUUACUCCUUGGGUGUUUUGGUCUGAAAUUUUUACCAGGCGUUCGUCACUGUGUCUGCUGAGUUUUAGCUGAUAUUUGAGCCCCAGAUUUGUCCCACAAGAAUGGAAAUAAAUUUUUUAUUCAUCACUGCCAGGGCUGAAAGGAAGGUUCCAAUGUGUGCGAAACAAUUUGAUUUUUUUUGUGGGUGAAUAAUCACCCAUUUGACCUGAAAUUUCUCGUGUUUUGUCCCAAAUUCAGUGGACAUUUUUACGUAAAAUUUCAGCAAAAAAGUAUUUCGGGAGAUAUUCUAAAAAAUUUUGUGCAUAUUUUAUUCUGCAAUUUCGCACUACUUUCUGCAAUUUUAUUCUGGGUCCGUAUUGCGCUUAAAAAAUUCACACAAGUACUUUCAUAUGUUGUUUGUACCCAGGUAAGGAGGCACGUCCGUAAACAAAUCACAAAAAGAAGAUAUCGGGAAGAAAAACCAGGAAGUUUUGUUUUCGGAAAGCAAGUUUUGUUCACUCUUGGUCUGGGACUUACUACGCCUUACUCCUUGGGUGUUUUGGUCUGAAAUUUUUACCAGACGUUCGUCACUGUGUGUUAUGAGUUUUGGCUGAUAUUUGAGCCCCAUAUUUGUCCCACAAGAUUGGAAAUAAAUUUUUUAUUCAUCACUGCCAAGGCCGAAAGGAAGUUUUGUCUAUGUGCGAAAUUGUUUCAUUUUUUUCGUGGGUGAAUACUCAUCUGUUUUACCUGAAAUUUUUCCCGUUUUGUCCCAAAUUAUGUGGAGAUUAUUACGUGGAAUUUCAGGAAAAAAAUAUUUCGGGAGAAUUUUUCAGAAAUUUUGUGCAAACCAAGGCUCUAGCAAAACUUGUGAAAUUUCGCUCUGACUUUCUGCAAUUUUAUUCCAGGUCCGUAUUGUGCUGAAAAAAUUCACACAACUACUUUCAUAUGUUGUUUGUACCCAGGUAAGGAGGCACGUUCGUAAAAAAAUCAAAAAAACAAUAUACGGGGAAGAAAAGCCAGGACGUUUUGUUUUCGGAAAGCCAGUUUAGUUCACUCUCGGUCUGGGAUUUACUACACCUUACUCCUUGGGUGUUUUGGUAUGAAAUUUCUACCAGACAAUCUUCACUUUGUUUGCUAAGUAUUGGCUGAUAUUUGAUCCCCAGAUUCGUCCCACAAGAUUGAAAAUAAAUUUUUAUUCAUCAUUGCCAGGGCCCAAAGGAAGGUUCGUCUGUGUUCAAAACUGUUUGAUUUUUUUCGUGGGUGAAUACUCAUCCGUUUCACCUGAAAUUUGUCGUGUUUUAUCCCAUAUUUAGUGGAUAUUCUUACGUGGAAUUUUAGGAAAAAACUGUUUCGGGAGAAUUUUUCAGAAAUUUUGUGUAAACCAAGGCUAUCCUCUACCAAAACUUGUGAAAUUUCGCCCUACUUUCUGCAAUUUUAUUCCAGGUGCGUAUUUCGCUGAAAAAAUUCACACAAGUAGUUUCAUAUGUUGUUUGCACCGAGGUAAGGAGCCACGUCCGUAAACAAAUCACAAAAAAGAAAAUACGGGGUAGAAAAACCAGGAUGUUUUGUUUUCGGAAAGCCAGUUUUGUUCACUCUCGAUCUGGGACUUAGUACGCCUUACUGCUUGGGUGUUUUGGUCUGAAAUUUUUACCAGACGUUCGUCACUGUGUCUGUUGAGUUUUGGCUGAGAUUUGAGCCCCAGAUUCGUCCCACAAGAUUGACAAUAAAUUUUUUAAUCAUUAUUGCCAGAGCUGAAAGGAAGAUUCGCCUGUGUGCAAAACUGUUUGAUUUUUUUCGUGAGUGAAUACUCAUCCGUUUUACCUGAAAUUUGUUGCGUUUUGUCCCAAAUUCAGUAGAGAUUCAUACGUGGAAGUUCAGGAAAAAACUACUUCGGGAUAAUUUUUCAGAAGAUUUGUACAAACCAAAGCUAUCCUCUACCAAAACUUGUGAAAUUUCGCCCUACUUUCUGCAAUUUUAUUCCAGGUCCGUAUUGUGCUGAAAAAAUUCACACAUGUACUUUCAUAUGUUGUUUGCACGCAGGUAAGGAGGCACGUCCGUCAACAAAUCGCAAAAAGAAGAUACGGGGAAGAAAAGCCAGGACGUUUUGUUUUCGGAAAGCCAAGUUUGUUCACUCUCGGUCUAAGACUUACUACGCCUUACUCCUUGGGUGUUUUGGUCUGAAAUUUUUACCAGAAAAUCUUCACUGUGUCUGCUAAGUAUUGGCUGAUAUUUGAGCCCCAGAUUUGUCCCAUAAGAUUGGAAAUAAAUCUUUUAUUAAUCACUGCCAUGGCCGAAAGGAAGAUUCGUAUGUGUUUGAAACAAUUUGAUUUUUUUCGUGGGUGAAUACUCAUCCGUUUGACCUGGAAUAAAUUGAAGAAUAGAAGUAUGAUGAUUUGAUCCGUACAAAUACAUUGUUGAAAUUAAUUUUCUUAGCAGCAAUUAAUUGUCAUAUGUAUCUAUUUUGCCUUGUAGGAAAUCUCUAAACCAAAUGGCAGAUAACUUUGGAUAUCUUUUGAGGUUAUGGUAAUCUACAAAGAUUGUUCCAAACCUUGAAAUGUACCCUAAAUUCCAUUCGAAGCUGUCAGUUAAAGACCAUGCAAAAUAUCCUUUCACAUUCACGCCAUUCCUUAUAAAAUCAAACAAAAAAGUAAUACAUUAUCAUCAUAUAAUUAGGAAGCUUUUUUCUGCCCUUAGCACAUUUUGAACAUGGUGUAAAGUACUUACUCGAUUGCACUUUGAAGAUAAUAGAGGUGAUCAUAAAAGUAAUCAAUUCUUGAAGUAUCUGCUAAGGCUUCUUCAAGUGAUAGAGUGUGAUCAUUGAAUUCAUCUAUACCUAUAUACACAAGUGAAUAAAUUGUUUCAGUAUGAGAAGGGAAAACACAUUAUAUCAAUUCUCUCUCUUACUUCAAUGAUUUAAACUUUCAUACAUGAAAAUUUCAUGAUUAAACUCAACUGCUACAUUACCAUUUUCAGUGAUGUAGAUCAAAGGGUUGUUGUACUUUUUUUUUAUAUACAGCAACAGAUCAUGAAUUCCUUUUGGACAAACAUACAACCAUUUUGAAGUAGUCUGCAGAAUACAACUUUCAUUUUCUUCAUUGAAAAACUAAUUGAAAUGAAGCUUUGAUAUGUAGUUACAGUUUCAAUAAAAUGUAAUCACAAAUUUACCAUUUUACCAAUAGGUGUUCCAUUUCGCUCACCUGUCAAUAUUCUACAUCAUUCUCUACUAUUAACAAAAAUUAACAAUAUAAAUACUUGAUUUUGAUUCAUCAGCUGCAAUUUGUGUUGGACCUCAAACAUAUAUAUAACUAAAUUCCGUCAUUUAUCUUCUUUCACACGUUAAAGUCUAUAAUCAAUAAUGAGAUAGAUAUUAAGGAGCCCUUACUUGUAAGAAUAAGAAGAGAAUCUGUGAGGUAGCUAGGCCUUGCUUCACUUAACUCAGGUGUAUCAGUAGCAUAAUAAGAAGUAUAGUAGUUUAAUCCAAUAAAAUCAAAGGACCCUCUUACAAGUUUGAUCUCAUCAGCAGAAAACUUUGGUAAUCGACUCCCUACCAAAGAUUGCAAGGAUUUAGGGUAUUCUCCAAUUGUCAAUGGCUCCAUAAACCUACAAUACAGUAGUUGAAUAAAUUAGUUAUAGAGAUUAUUAGUUUAAUCCUAGCAUUAUAGUUGAGUAGAUAAUGAGUAUUUAUUGUAGGAUUUUUCAUCUGAAUAACCUGUCAUGGAUUGGACUGCUCUUUUGGUGUUCUUCAUGAUAAGUUUUGUGUUCUUAUCUGACCACUAUAUCAAGCUUUUGUCCCUUUAGUCAGACUAUAUAUGUCUCUGACUAAUCAUAAAAUGAAAGUAAUUUCUCUAAGUACACACACAUUCUAUAACGUUCCAGAGUUAAAUUGUUAUGAGGAAAACAUAUUUCUCCUACAAUAUAUUGACUUAAAAUGAAAAAAUAAGUUAGAAUCACUAUCAUACUGUAGUUGAGCUCCACAUAAGAAUUUAGGUUCAUAAAGUAGUUACCAUCCAAACAUAAAAUCAAGGGCUCUUUCUGCAGCAAACUGAUCGGACUCUGUAUCAUAGAGUGGUACUAUCCAAUGACAUGACAGUGAUAUCCCAUCACACCCUUUUGAGACACCUACAUACAUGAAGCAAAAUUUAAGUUUAGGACUAGUUUAUUAUGACUCUUUGAUUGAAUAAGGAAACCAAUACACUUAUUUUGAUUGCAUUUCAAAAUACAAAAUUUGUAAUUGAACCUGAUAUUUUGUCUUAUAGACAUUGAAAGCAGCCGCAUGAGCAAGUAAUUGAUUGCAACUCACUGUGUAGGGUUCAAUGGCUGAAUCACCAUCAGUACAAGAUAAGUUUUGCCAGGUUGAACAAAUUCUAGGUGGUGAAAUAGCAUCAGCAUACCCAUAUUUACUAAAGGUCCAUGGUUCAUUUAAUGUAAUCCAAUGUUUUACCCUGUCUCCAAAUUCUUUAAAACAAAGUUCUGAAAAUCUUGAAAAUCAUUCCUAGAUAAUGGUAAAAAAAAGUAGAUAUCAGUUAAAGUAUGUUUACACAAAUAAUAUAUUUUGACUAUUAAAUAUAAGAAAUGUGAAUUACACUAUAUCAAGACUUAAAAAACCAUCAUAUUCGUAAUGGUCACAAAGGUUUAAGACCUGCAUUAUGCCAACUCUAUCGACAUCUUGCAAUGCCAACUCCAAUCUGUUGGCAUAAAUGUGUGUAACCUUUCAACAUCAUGUACACUUCCAAACUCAUCAAAAUAUUCUACAUAAUUGUUUGCAAAUGUAAAAUGACGGGUUGUUUUGGAAUACCUUUUGCUUUGUCAACUCCCAAUCUGAAACAGACGUCCUCACAAACAUAUUUUGCCAGAUCGGUCAUGCAUGACAAAACAUGUUUUAUAACUGUUUGAUUGUUGAAAGAAAGACCUCGAUAAUAGAUCAUUAAAAUAUUGUUCACCUGUAUCUUCUGGACUCUUCUUAGCAUGUUUAUGACAUUGUACAAAAUUUUCAGCAAUCCACUCCACAAUUGAAUUAAGCACUCCUUAUCAAACUCAUAAUCUUUAUGAAAUAACGCACAAUAAGCAAUCUCUUGAGAUGGGAGGGAAGAUGGUUAUAUCUCAGUGAUAAAGCAAGAAUAACAUCACUAUCCUAUAAUUCCCAAAUUUCACAUUCUAAUACAUUUUUCCAUUCUGAAACGGAUGAUUUAUUCCAUAGCAGUCUGUAUUUGGUUGAGUAUCAUUUUGAAAUACAUGUUUUGCAAACAACUGCCAGCAAUAGUCUUCUUGUAAUUCCUUCAGGUGGUGUUCUUCUGAGUGCAUGGGGAGAGCAACUUUCUUACUGCGUGUGGUCACAAGAAUCCAACUUCCAUAAGCCCUAGAAUCAAGAGUUUUCUGCAUUUGUUCCCAUCUAGACCUUGUAGAGAAGCCAGCCUGUGAAAUGCAACCUGAAGGAAAGCAGAGAGAAGAGCAGCACCAACCAACUCUGCAGCCAUGGUAGGAACUCGGAAAGGGAGUAGAGUAGAUGAAUGAAAAUUGCAGCUAGUGGCAAUGGCUCAGUGCAGGGUUAAUGUUCUGAGUCAAUUGAUCUUCUUUAAUGCUGCUGAAUCAACAUAAUCAUCUUUUUCUUUGAUUCCCAAUCAAUCAAUAAUAAUGGUCAAUUUUGGUGGAAACUAGUCAAUAAAUAAACCCAAAUGAUAUAACAUUGCGUUUAUAUCUGAAAACACCAUAUUAUAUAUGACAAAGAGAUUGAUUUUAAAUUUAAAAGUAUUAUUAACUAAAAAUAUAAUAUGAUAUUAAAACAAAAAUACAAAUAAACACAAUUUUAAAAUAUAUUAAAAACAUAGAAUUUAUUUAAGGUUUAUAAGUAUUGCAUUUAUAUUUCCUAAUUAAAAUGAUGGAGGGUGAAUGGUUACAAACUUUCUGCAGCACUACCAACAAAAGAGAAAAAUAGUUGAUACACAAUCAAAACAAAAAUAAAUUGUUGCUCACCAAAACCACAUUAUUUAAAAUAGUUCUCUAUAUAUCUAGGCGUUGAAUGUGAGCAAUCUUUUCCCAGUCUUGGCCUCCUUCUUCGCAACGCUGUUUGAGCAAAGGACACUUGUAUAUUUCAAGAUAUGAAAUUGAUUUUGGAAGACCCUCCUUCGGUAAGCGUUGGAGGUUGCGGCAGACCAAAAGUCUGAGUGAUUGAAGGGAUGAGAGUUGAUGGAGACCCUUGUAAUCCAGUUUUUCUAGAUUUGUACAAUGAGAGAUGGUUAGAGAAGUAAGAGAGAGUGGAAGCAAACCUUCAACAGGAAAACAUUUUGCAUCCACUUCUUCAAUGCUCAACCUUUCAAGAGAAGAACUGUGUACGAUAGCUCCUUUCGGUGAGCCAACAAGUCUAGAGCAGUUAUUGAUUUUCAUCUCUUCUAGAUUUGAUGGCAAACCUCUGUCAGGGAACGACUCAAGUCUUGGACAGUCUUCUAUGGAUAGAUACCUGAGAGAUGGAAGCAGCAUAUGCAUGUUUGCAGGCAAUGAUUCUAAUUUAUGGCACCUACUGAUUUCCAGAUGCUUCAGAUGAUUAUGGAUGAGACUCUGUGAAAUCAUCUGUAAAUUACAAAUCCCAUUUAGUUGAAGGGUCGUGAGUGUUUGGAAGAAAUCCAGUGGAAAGAUACACAGAGAGACACAGUCAUCAGUUAUUGACUCCACAAUUGAAUAUAUCCGUAACUGAUCAAAAGUGUUGGACGACCCUACAAUUUCCCGAAAUGAUGCUUCCAUGAUGUGCCAACCAAUUGUAAGCCAUCUCAUUGUAGCCAACUCCAACAGCAGCUUUCCACAGUCAUGUAGUUUUAAAUAUAUUGCCCUGGGAGCGCAACCCUCAAGUUGUUGGCAGUCUUCAAUUUGUAGUCUUUCCAAAGGAACAUCUGGCAGCUGUCCUUUCAGCUUCGGACAAUUUCUUAUGGAAAGCUGUCGUAGACAUGGAAAAGCACCUGUAAGAGCUUGGCACUCCCAUUUUUCCCAUUGACUCAUAUUGGAGAACUCCAAUGUUUCAAGCGAUUUAAAUGAACAAGAGUUGUUCCCAUGAAAAUCACCAUCAAUUCUCACUAUCUCAUCAAACCCUGAAAUCUCCAGCUUCUUCAGAAAUGGCAAAAGACCAAGCGGAGGAAAAUGUUGGCAACAUGUACAUUUCAUCAACGCUAAGGACACCAGAUUCAGUAACGAAUUAUCGAGUAACCAAUUUGGAAGUUGUUUACCAACAUAUUUCCUUACUGUUAACUUCUUCAAGUAGUUUGAAGGUCGUAGAUUCUCAAUUACAUCCCCAACUUUGGUUGAAUCAACAGAGGAGCUGCCCAUAAUAUUCCAUUCUAACUGUAGCUCCACAAGGUCUGGUUUGUUCUUCAAAUCUGCUUCUAAUGCAUAAGAGGGAUUCUCUAUAUUCUGCAGCUCAUGAAUUGUUAGACUUCCAUGGAGAUUGAGUUCUCCUAAUUGCUGAAUACUGAAUUCCUUAUUUUUCUCAACGUAAAACGAACUCAUGGAUACUUGGAGAUUCUUCCGCUUUCCCAAAUAUGCUGGCACAAUUUUCACUCCAGUUUUCAUAAAUUCAAGGCAUCGCAAAUUGUCCAGUUGUUGCAAAUAUGAGGGAAGCUCCUUCAAUCUUGGACAAUAGUUCAACUUCAGUAUUUGCAACUUGUAGAGUAAACUUAUGGAGUCAGGUAGUUUUUCUAUGUCAGUAGAAGAGAGAUCUAAUGAACGGAGAUGUUUAAGAUUUCCUAUAGAUUUAGGCACCUCUGUAAGGUUACGACAAUGAGACAAAGAGAAGACGCGUAUGAACUUAAAUUUGGAGAACAAGUCAUCUAUCGACAUCUUACAAUACCAAAACCAAAAAAAACUAUACAUUCCCCGAUCAGUUGGCAUAAAUGUAUGCAACUUUUGAGUAUCAAUCAAACUUCCAAACCCAUCAAAAUAUUUGACACGAGUAGUUGGAAAUGAAAAAUGACGGCUAGUCUUGGGUAUACCUUUUGGUUCAUCAACUCCUAACCUGAUGCAGAUGUCCUCACAAACGAAUUUUGCCAAAUCAUUUAGAAGGUCAUGCAUGAUAAAAUGCUUUGCCCCUUCUUUUCCGGAUUCUUGAAAGAAGGACCAAGAUAACAGAUCAUUGAAAUAGUGUUCUCCAACCUCUUUAGGACUCCUUUUCUGUAGAGGGCUUUCUAGAAAAUUUUCAGCCAACCACAGUUGAAUUAAACACUCCUUGUCAAACUCAUAACCUUUGGGAAACACCGCACAAAAAGCAAAGCAUUUCUUCAGAUGAGAAGGAAGGUGGUGAUAACUCAGUCUUAAAGCAGGGAGAACAUUACUUUCAUUUUCUGAAAAAUCCCAUAUCUCACUUUUCAUAAUGUUUUCCCAUUCCCAAAAGGAUGAUUUAUUGUGUAAUAGACUUCCCAUUGUUUUCAAGGCUAAAGGAAGCCCAUUACAUUUUUCAACUAUCUUCUUACCAAUCUCCAUGAACUCUGGAUCCGGUUGAGGACUACCACUUUGGAAUGCAUGUUUUGCGAACAGGGCCCGACAAUAAUCUUCUUUUAAUACCUUCAAAUGGUGUUCUUCUGACCGCAUGGCAACAGCAACCUUCUCACUUCGUGUAGUGACAAGAAUCCUACUUCCUUGGGCCCCAAAACGAAGAGCUUUCUGCACUUGUUCCCAUUUAGAUUGGUUUUCGUUCCAAUUGUCAUCCAAAACCAGAAGAAAUUUCUUCCCCGUCAAUUUUUCUUUCAGUCUUCUCUGAACCACUUCCUGCUGUAUACUAUGAUCAGUUGAACCUGUAAUUGUGUCAAGAAUUGCUCUUGAUACAUUGAGAACAUCAAAUUCUUGUAAAACACUGACCCAAGCUUUAAUAUCAAAUUUACCUUCAAUCCUUGGGUCAUUGAAUACAUGUUGAGCAAGUGAGGUCUUACCCAAUCCACCCAUGCCCAGAACAGAAAGUAUAGAAAGGUUGCUGUGAGUGUCAGAUGUGAGCCAGUUAAGGACAAAUUCUUUGUCAUCAUCUCUGCCAUAAAUAACACUUUCAUUUGGCAAGGAUGUAUAUGUUAAUUUACUACUCGAUCCUGAUCCAACCCCAACACCACUAGUCUUUUUCAAACCUAGAAAUUCGCUUUGGGUUGCAAGAUCUUCUAGGUCCUCAAUGACUUGUUCCAUCUUGGAUUCAAUUUCAUUUUCAAAGAAAGUGACAAAAGAAGAUUUGAGGGAAUUCCACACCUUGUUAGUAGCACUCUGAGACUCAGCUUCCACUUGCCGGCUUUUGGAGAGUUCAUAAUCAAUUUCUUCCAAGAGAUCUUCUGCAUCAAACACAACAUCUUUGGCCCUGAGAAGCCAAUCUCUCACACGUGGAUCUGUGAACUGCUUUUGCUCUGCAUCAAAAGCCACAGCAUCAAUGGCUAGGAGUUUCAUCUUCAAGUCGCUGAGUUGCUUCUUUUUGUGUUUUCUUGCACGAAAUAUGUCGACAAAACGGGAAGCCAAAGUGUCAAUAGUCCUCUCGAUGAAAGUAGAAAGAAGAGCACCAGUAACCAUUUCUGCUGCCAUGGUAAGAAGAGGAAAGGGAGUGGAUGAAUGAAACUGAGUAAUUUGGUGUGAAGCUUAGGCCUUUGAUUGGGUGCAGUGCAAUGGAAAUAAUAGUUAGCCAAUAAUGAUGGUCAAUUUCGGUGGCUAACUAAUCAAUAAAUAAACCCAAAUCAUCUAACAUUGCAUGUAUAUAUUUAGAAAUAACAUUGUAAAGGACAAAAAGAAAUUGAUGUUGCAGUAAAGUAUAAUAUAACUGCAACUCAUUACAUGAAUAAUUAGAUUAUAACUAAGUAUGAUGCAGCUGCUAUAUAGUAGUAGAUUAAAGUAUGAGGCAGGUAACAGCAGUGUAUUAUAAUAAUGAGGAAUUUUAUGCAUGGUUGCUUAAAGAUGGUUCUGAAGUGCAGAUAGUGGCAAGUUCUGACGAAAUGAGUGGUAAUGAGUUAUUUUAUGAAUGAUUGCUUUAUUUUAAGGUUGGUGAGCAUAAUUUGUUUGUGAUGGCCUAAGCCAAUAAUAAUUAUAAAUUUCAGCCACAAACUAACAAGUAAAUAAAUCCAAGAAAUCUAACAUUGUGUGAAUAUUUGAAAACACCAUAUAGUAUUGGACAAAGAGAAAUUGAGUUUGCAGUAAAAUAUAAUAUAACAUACCUGCAACUCUUUCCAUAUAAUGCAACUCAUUUCAUAAUAUGCAAAUAAAGUUACAUUAAUUGGUUAACAUUCUCUUCAUUUCAAAGGGAAAACCACAUAAUCAAAAUUCUGUUGUCCAUAUAACGUCUUUCAAUAAUAUUUUACAAAACUUCUUCCUUAACCUCCAUUUUCCCUUUUAACUCCUUAUUUUAAGUUUCAAAAAUAUUUUAACUCCCCACUUUUUUAUUAACCUCCACACUUCCUCUAACUCUUAUUUUGAGUUACUAACCCACAAUCCUUUUGGGAAGGAAUUCUUUUCAGAGAAUAGGAAGAAGGCAAAAGUAACAGAAGUAUCAUUCUUUCUAUUCCUAAUUCCUAUGUUUGCUCUCUAACGCAAGUUCCCUUCUAUCUGAAAAGGCCGAGCAAAUUAAAACAAAUACCAUCAUAGUGCCGGGGAGAUCCAACGGGUCAUGAAGAGCUCCGACGAGGUCAUGAAGGUUGAGCUUUUGCUUUCUUUCGCUUCCCCUUGAACAUCACAGUUCCCCAUGUAGAGCUCUUCCAAGCUUGUCAACCUCGAUAUCACGUUGCCAGGAAUUCCUCCUAGUGUUGAGCAAUCAGUCAAAUCUAGCAACCGAAGAUUACUUAAUCCUCCUAUUUCUGCAGGGAGCUCUUUAAGCUCAGAUUUCUCCAAGCUGAGAAUCUCUAAACUUGUGAUUUCUCCAACAGUUGCUAUGUCUUCCAACAUGCACUGAAAGUGUGGAACAGGGAGGUUUUUGGGAAUCUUCAUACUACGAAGAGUAGGAUUCUACAGGAGUUGGAGGUUCUAGACGGCAGAGACUGUAAUGGGGGUCUAGAGGAAAGCGAUAGAAUCAAAAGAAUGGAGCUGACAAGCCAUUUGGUAGAGAAUGAUAAAAAACUUGAGUCUCUUAUAUGCCAAAAGGCUAGAACAAAUUGGUUUAAGAGUGGAGAUUCGUGUACUAGGUUUUUUCACUCAUCUUUGAGGUGGAGAAGACUUAGGAACGAAGUGAAGGGUGUCCAGGUGGGGGACCGAUGGUGUGAGGAACCGGGAACAGUCCGGUUGGAGGCGAAAAAGCUGUUUGAAGCCAGGUUCAAUGCUACGAAAGAUCUGGGGGUGAGGUUGGAUGAGGUUGAGUUCAAGACUCUAACCUUAACGGAUAAUGAGGGGCUGGUGGCUGGUUUCACUGAGAAAGAGAUUAAGGAUGCUGUGUGGCAGUGUGAUGGAUCAAAGAGCCCAGGCCCAGAUGGGUUCAAUUUUAAUUUUAUCUGGAAAAGUUGGGACUUUGUGAAAGAGGAGUUAAUGGUAACAAUGGCCUCUUUUCAAGCAACAGGGAACAUCCCGAAGGGUUGUAAUGCUUCAUUCAUUGCACUUAUCCCGAAGGUGAGGGACCCCGCUAUGCUGGAGCAAUACAAACCCAUAUCUUUGGUGGGUGUCAUUUAUAAAAUUUGUACCGUCCCGUAUCCGGGCGUUGACAAAGUCAAGGUCAAAGUCAACACCAGGAGUCAAGGUCAACACAAGGCGUCGCCUAGGUGAAGAGACGCCACGUACCAGUGUCGCCAAGAGGAAGCGUCGCCAAGGCAAGGCGUCGCCUAGGUGAAGGCGUCACCCAACCAGGGCGUCGCCAAGAUCAAAUAUUACUAAGGCAAGGCAAUCACAGUGUGGUUCCCCGAUACCCAUGGAUAGGAAAGACCAUGGAGGGAGCGACGCCGUGGGAAGGCCUCAGGUCCCGAUGACCCGGGGGAGUGAUAAAGAGAAGAGAAAGGUGGCUUCAAGGCCAUAGUAACAACACCAGUGUAGGGUAGCCUGACUCGUGAAGUACCCCUGCCGCCCCAGAGACGCCUUUGGGACAGAUACGACUCAAGAGGAAGGUCACGCCCAGGGUAGCCGGGUGCAGGGUGCGAGAGGAAGGCAGAUACGCUCUCAAAGUGAGUGACUAGAUGAUUGGGGGCAUGAGUUGGCACCCAAAAAGUCACCCCUUGCGUAGUAGCACUCCCAAGCAGGAGGACUCACACGUAGAAACGUCCCCGGAUGGGGCCAUGGCGCUGUGAGUCCCUCCACGAGUACGACAGCCAGGUCAGAAUAGAAACACCCUUUAGCCAGGUACCAGGUAAUUAAAGUCAUUUAAUACAGUUUCUGUUUCGAGCGUUUAAGGUACUAUAAAGGCUCCCAAGCGUUUCAACGUCUUAAAUGCGCUACGUUUUCUAAUUAGACACGCUGAUUGAGUGCGUUACGUUUGUGAUUAAAAGCGCUUUAAGGCGCUUUAAAUGCUUGGGUAGUUUAAAUAGCGCUGAGAAUGUUGGGAACGGGGUUGGGACUUUUGGCAAAUUUUCCAGAAACUCUUUAGUUGCUUGCUCGAGCCUUGAGGUUACGCACAAGGGACUAGGGAAAGAUCUUUGCCAAAAGGAGAAAAUAUACACUAGACACAGUUCCUUUUUUACCACCUUCAGAGUGCCAUACGCGGUGCUCCGAUACGGAGGUGCAUAGUUUUUGGUGUUUCUUGCUGGCUGACUUGAGCGUCGGAGUGCAAACGGCCGCUAGGGCGCCCCUUUGUCUUUUUUUUGCAGGAAUCCACAGGUACCCAAGGGAAAGGAGUCCCUAGCUGACGGUUGAGGUCGCGCACGAAGACGUCCCAGGUCAACCGGACGGAACAAAAUCAUUACAAAGGUGUUUGCUGGAAGAUUGAAGAAGGUGUUGCCUGCGAUUAUUGAUGAAAGCCAAUCAGCGUUCCUUAAGGGUAGAGGGAUCUUGGAUAGUGUUCUGAUGGCUAAUGAAGUGGUGGAAGACCUCAGAAAGAAGGGGAGAAGCGGUAUUUGCCUAAAAGUGGACUUUGAGAAGGCCUACGACUCGGUUAGAUGGGAUUUCCUUUAUGAUAUGUUACACAAAUUGGGGUUCCACAAUGUUUGGAUUUCGUGGAUCAGAGGGUGUCUGGAAUCUGCUACUGUGUUAGUCUUAGUGAAUGGGAGUCCUACGGAGGAGUUUAAACCUUCUAGAGGGUUGCGACAGGGUGACCCCCUGGCACCCUUCUUGUUUAUAGUGGUAGCUGAAGGACUUGCAGGGUUAGUAAGACAAGCGUUGAAGGUUAAUUUGCUUACGGGCCUUAAGAUAGGAAGGAAUGAGGUGGAGAUGUGUAUGUUACAGUUUGCGGACGACACUCUCUUUCUGUGUGAUGACACCUUUGGAAAUGUGCUAACCUUGAAGGCCAUUUUGAGGGGCUUUGAGCUAGCCUCAGGUCUGAAGAUCAACUUCCAUAAGUCAAGGUUAGCAGGCAUUAAUGUACAAAGCAGUAAGAUAGGGUGUUUCACUAAGACGUUGAAUUGCAUUCAGAUGGAAGUACCGUUCAAAUAUUUGGGUCUGGAGGUGGGAGGGAACCCAAGAAAGAAGCAAUUCUGGAAACCAGUUAUAAGCAAGUUGAAAGCAAAACUCAGUGUUUGGAAGGGGAGAUUUUUAUCCAUGGCAAGGAGGAUAUGCCUAAUCAAUUCUGUUUUAACCGCAAUUCCUUUGUAUUACCUCUCUCUUUUCAGAGUACUGGCUUCGGUGUGUAAAAGGAUUAUUAGUAUUCAAACAAGAUUUUUAUGGGGCUGGGGGAAACUAACCAAGCCAAUUGCUUGGGUUAGCUGGAAUGAUGUUUGCAGACCAAAAGAGGAGAGAGGGUUGGGGUGUAGAGAUAUACGCUUGUUUAAUCAAGCUCUACUAGCCAAGUGGAGAUGGAGGUUUCUUUCGGAGGAGAACGGAAGAUGGAAGAUGCUGUUGGAUUCUAAAUACAACAUGGGGGAUGGAAACAGUCAAACACCUGUCAAAUAUCAAUCUUGGUGGUGGAGAGACCUCGCUAAAGUAUGCAAGGUUGGCGGAGGAAGAGGGUGGUUUCAGGAAGAGCUAGGUUGGGAUGUAGGUUGUGGUGACAAAGCAAAGUUCUGGGAGGAUGUAUGGAUUGGUAGUGUCGAUCUUAAGUCCUUGUUCCCGCGCUUAUACUCUUUAUCUUUAAACCAAGGUAAAGCAGUGGGGGAGAUGGGUGUAUGGGAUGAUACGGAGUGGAGGUGGGACUUGAGGUGGAGGCGUGACAGAUUUGUAUGGGAAUCAUCUCUGGAGAGGGACCUUAUUCUACUUCUAUCAAGGGUCAUUAUGAGAAAGAAUGUCCAGGAUAUCCAGGUUUGGGGGAAGGAGAUACCGGGGCUGUUUUCGGUGAGCUCGGCGUAUGAGUGUCUAUCUAAGCAUGGUAGAGGGAACAAUGUCGAAGUGUUUAAGCUUCUGUGGGAGGUGAAGGCCUUUCCAAAUGUAUUGGUAACUGCCUGGAGGGUGUUUAAGGGGAGAAUCCCCACUAGAGUGAGUUUGAGCCGGAGAGGAAUGAUAUUGAACUCAACAGUGUGUCCCUUGUGUCUGCUACAGGAAGAGACCUGUCAACAUCUCUUCAUGGAUUGUAAAUAUGCUCAACAGGUAUGGUCUCAAUGCCUUCAGUGGGUAGGCAUUUCUUUUGUGGAGCAUCAUGAUCUUAAGCGGCAUUUCCUAAGUUUCCACUUGUUUCAAGUUAGUAACAAGCAGAAUAAGAUCUGGAAAGGGGUCUGGGUUAAUGUUAUUAGAAGUAUAUGGGACCAAAGGAAUCUGAUUACCUUUCAUCAAGGGGUGGUAGAUGCAGAGGAGAUAUUCCAGAGGGCCCAACUUAAGUCUUGGAUGUGGCUGAAGCAUAAAGCCCAUUCGUUUUCUUAUUCUUUUACAGAUUGGAUUUUCAACCCAAUUAUCUGCAUUAAAAGCUGCUAAUGUUUCCUGGUUUUGGGUCUCCUGAAGAAGCUGGUUUUUCUGGUUGGUAUCAUGUGAAGGUUAUGGUUCGGUUGGAACCUGUGAUGGUGAUGGAGUGAAUCCCUUGGGGUUGCUGCUGUUACCUGCAUUGGGGUUGGUCGUGUAAAGGUGGACUGGUUGGCUGGUUGGACUGCUAUAUUUCGUAUGUGUAGGGGGGUCGGUGAAGGAAUGAAGGUUUCAAUUGGAGAGGGUGUGAUUAGAAGGGUGCCGUGGGGAGCAGCUUGGAAAACUGGUGAAGAGUGUUAGGAUUUUUUAGGUGCUGUUGUGCUGUUCUUUGGAGUGCAGUUUGGUGUUGGGUGCUGUUAUUUUAUUGGUUCUGUCAUUUGGUUCUUUUAUAAGUGAUGGUUUGGGUUUGACAUUCCCUUUUGUAGACUUAGGGUUUUGGUUAUACUUUCUUUUGUGGAAGUGUAACUUUGUGGCUGUGGUACACGGGUUGGGAUACCCCUUAAGUAUCCCCUUAAUUUUAUUAUUGCUGAUAAAAAAAAAAUGAAGGUUGAGCUUGAAGAACGUCAAGGUUUGGAUCUACACAAGAGUAACAACAUCACAAUCGAAGGUUGUUCGAUUUGGACACAGUGGAAGAAUUAAGGAGCAAGGCAAUAAUACAAAAAACAACUCAGAAAAUGAGAUUGGAGGCAAAAUACUUGAGCAGGGUAUGUCCAACAGAAUUCAGAGAGAUAGAUCUGGUAUUAAGGAAAGCAGGAGAAUCAAAUAUGCAUAGCAAGUUAGCACCAAAAUGGAUCAAACCUUAUCAAAUUCGAGAGGUGAUCGGAAGAGGAGCAUAUCGAUUGAAAAUGUUAAAUGGUGGACUCAUACCAAGAACUUGGAACAUGACUAAUCUACGUUUUUAUUACAGUUAAUUAAACAUUUGUGAAAUAUCUGUUGGUUUGUUUAAGUUGAAUUUGAUACAGUUUAAUUUGUUUAAAAAUUCAUGUUUCUUGGAAAUAAGAUCGUUUAUUCAGUAUAUUACAACAUGGUGUGUACAAGUUUGUAAUUCACAGGAGAUCAGCCUCGGUCCUUUGAAAAACAAAAAAACCAUGUAAGGGUCUUAAUACAAAAACCAUGUGUGGGUUCUUAUCCUGCACGGUAUGUAGCACAAUUGUCGCUUCCUUGUGAAUGAAGAACCAAGCAUGAAUGCCAUAAGACAAAAAAUAGUUGAGAGUCGAGAAAUAAAAGAAAACCGGGAAUGAUCUCGGUCUAAAGCAAGGUACGAGGACUGCAUAAAGCAUAUCAUUAUUCAUAAAUUAUCUGUGUAAGUCAUUCCAAUUCGAAUUUGCUUAAACAUAAAGCAUAUCUUAGUGUAUGAAAAUUAUAGUAUUUGUUCAGAAGAUGAGCAGGAUCAUAAACAUGUUUGUUAAAUAAGAGAGGUGGGAUCAUGGAAGAGACUAGUGGAAUAUAUAUACGUAGAGGCAAUUCAUUAAGCAGUUGCUAAAACAAAAUAUAAAUAUAGUAGCUCAUAGUUAAAGUGUUUCUAAGAGUUUUUCAAGUUAAGACAGUAAAGAACUGAAAGUCAUUGAUCAACACUUUUGAAGGGAUCAAACGUGGACGUAUCCAGAUGAGGGUAAAGAACGUGAAAUUGCUCAAGUGCUCCAUUGAAACCUUCGACAAAGCACCGACCACUCUCAUCUUUGACAGUUUCCAAGGCAGUAUUCAGGGUCGAUAUCUUGCCUUGGAGCAUGUUCUCUGUAGACUCCCAAGCCCAAUUUGCGGCUUCACGUUCAUCGAUGGUCCUUUGAAGUUUGGCAAGGGCAUCGUCCCUAUCUUGAGCCAUUUCAGAAAGCUUGGCUUCAAGCUGAGCGACCUUCAGAUUGGCGUCUUCAAGCUCUUUCUUGGAUUUUUGAAUUUCCUCGACUUCGUGUUUCAACUGAUUCUGAACCAUUCGAUCAAAGGUAGAGAGGAUUUCGGGCCACGAGGACUUCUGGCUUUGGAGAACAAGGGCAUUGUCUCCUCUUUGACAUGACCACGUGGAAGAUGAGCCCUGAUGGUUGGAAGCUUGCUCCUGGUGCAAGUCAGUAUAGUAAGCAGAAGGGCGAUUGGGAACAAGACGUUUUGUUUCGAAGGGCACGAUGGCUGUCUUUUCGGAGUCGACGGCAGUAGGAGCGGUAUUGGUUUUUUCCUUGAUUUGAUGUUCUCUUAAUACCGGCAGGAGGUGCUUUUCUGAUCGCAUGGUAACAGAAACCUUCUCACUACGUGUAGUGACAAUAAUCUUACUGCCUUGGCCUCCGAAAAGUAGGGGCUUCUGCACAUCUUUCCAUUUCGAUCGUCUUUCGUUCCCAACGUCAUCCAAAAUGAGAAGAAAUUUCUUCCCUGUUAAUUCUUCUUUCAGUCUUCUCUGAACCACUUCCUGCUCUAUACUAUGAUCAGUUGAACCAGUAACUAUGUCAAGAAUUGCUCUUGAUACAUUGAGAACAUCAAAUUCAAGUCGAACACUCACCCAAACUUUAAUAUCAAAGUCAAUCCUUGGGUCAUUGAAUACAUGUUGGGCAAGUACAGUCUUACCCAAACCACCCAUGCCCAUAAUAGAAAGUAUAGAUAGGUUUUUGUGAGUGUUAGAUGUGAGCCAUUUAAACACAAAUUCUAUGUCUUUAUCUCUGCCAUACAUAACACCUUCAUUUGGCAAAGAUGUAUAUGUUAAUUUACUACUUCAUCCUGAUCCAACACCAAUACCACUAACCUUUUUCAAACCUAGAAAAUCGCUUUGGGUUACAAGUUCUUCUAGGUCUUCAAUGACUUGUUCCAUCCUGGAUUCAAUUUCAUUUUCAAAGAAAGUGACAAAAGAAGAUUUGACAGAAUUCCACACCUUGUUGGUAACAGUCUGAGACUCAGCUUCCACUUGGCUUUUGGAGAGUUCAUACUCUAUUUCCUUUAAGAGAUCUUCUGCAUCACACACAACAUCUUUGGCCCUGAGAAGCCAAUCUCUUACACGUGGAUCUGUGAACUGCUUUUGCUUUGCAUGAAAACCCACAACAUCAAUGGCUAGGAGCUUCGUCUUCAAGUCGCUGAGUUGCUUCUUUUUGUGUUUUCUUGCACGAAAUAUGUCGACAAAACGGGAAGCCAAAGUGUCAAUAAUCUUCUCGAGGAAAACAGAAACAAGAGCAUCGGUAACAGUUUCUUUCAUGGUAAGAAGAGGAAAGGGAGUGGAUGAAUGAAACUGAGUAAUUUGGAGUGAAGCCUAUGCCUUUGAAUCGGUGAAGUGAUAUGUAAAUAACAGUAACAACCUAUUCUUUUU